Molecule: ribosomal RNA, 444 nt
Filed under: Micrococcus sp. EF2B-B193
Lineage: Bacteria; Bacillati; Actinomycetota; Actinomycetes; Micrococcales; Micrococcaceae
Description: bacterial SSU rRNA
Rfam family: Bacterial small subunit ribosomal RNA
Source: RNAcentral
UUUAGAGUUUGGAUCCUGGCUCAGGAUGAACGCUGGCGGCGUGCUUAACACAUGCAAGUCGAACGAUGAAGCCCAGCUUGCUGGGUGGAUUAGUGGCGAACGGGUGAGUAACACGUGAGUAACCUGCCCUUAACUCUGGGAUAAGCCUGGGAAACUAGGUCUAAUACCGGAUAGGAGCGUCCACCGCAUGGUGGGUGUUGGAAAGAUUUAUCGGUUUUGGAUGGACUCGCGGCCUAUCAGCUUGUUGGUGAGGUAAUGGCUCACCAAGGCGACGACGGGUAGCCGGCCUGAGAGGGUGACCGGCCACACUGGGACUGAGACACGGCCCAGACUCCUACGGGAGGCAGCAGUGGGGAAUAUUGCACAAUGGGCGCAAGCCUGAUGCAGCGACGCCGCGUGAGGGAUGACGGCCUUCGGGUUGUAAACCUCUUUCAGUAGGGAAGA